GGGAGGGGGGAGAGAAAGAGAACAGUCAGUGACGCGCACGGCCCCCUCCCCCACCCCGCCGCGCUUUCCGCCCACCCCCGGCCGCCCCACAGCCACCCGAGCAGGGCACCCGAACCACUCAGGCUGAACUUUACUUCCACGCUCCCGGGGGCAGCCCGGAAGCCGGCUCCCCGGCUGAAGCCCCCCAGACGAGAGGGAGCGGCGCCCCCGAGGGCAGGCCAUUCCUAUGGAUGGGCACCCCACCAUGGUGUGAACUGAGGAUCCCGCUAUAUACACACAGAGAUCCAAGAACUGCUCUCCGUCCGCUCACUGCUACUCAUGCUUACGCAACAGAUGUUGACGGAGUACCUAGCAAGGCACAAAGCUGGGCACCAUGGGGAGUGCCUCCCUUCAAGAAGCAUAAACAACCAAACUCCAAGAUGAGAUAGAAUGUCUGGUGUCAACGGAAAACUGAGUGCUAUUUCCUAACUUUCUGUUACAGAGAAUAAAACAAAUCCCAACUGAUCUUAGGAGAGAUCAGAUCCCAGUAGAAGUUCUCAGCGGUCCUUCUAGAGCCCGGAAGGAUCCCUAACCUUUGCCUUGGUUCUCCUGAAUUUGUUGUAUCUCAAGACCAAUGAUUGUUAAUCUUCCUCCAACUACUCUCACUGCAUGGAAGGACCAUUCUACAGAGGAGACAGACCUUGAGGAGAACCAAGGGGAAGCGUCCUCUUCGGUUUAGUUGGUGGACAAUCAGGAGUGCUGUCUUGGAGAUGUUGGGACCCACCACCGUUGGAACGAUGAAUGAGCCCAGUUCUCAGCGCUCACACAGCCACACCGGGAAGGGGCAGCAUCUAAGAUUUUAUCCUUUUCCUCCUUGGGAUUUUCCUAAGCCUCAAAGGGGAUGGAAACCCUUCGGAUAUACUGAAUGUGGGGAAACAGUCCACCAGAGCUUAAACAGAGGCGAUUCCACACUGGAGAAAACUCAUUUCCAUCUGCCUCCACAGGCCGCGAGCACACUUCUCCUAGACCAGCUCCCUCACCAGUCUUUAUUUCCCCUUAGACUCUCCACACCUCGUUUCCCUACAGCUUAUCCCACUCAGUGUGUCAGCGUGGGCAAAAUCUCACUGAAGAACCUCCAGAGGGGCUUCCCUGGUGGCGCAGUCGUUAAGAAUCCACGUGCCAAUGCAGGGGACAUGGGUUUGAGCCCUGGUCCGGGAAGCCCUCACAUGCCGCGGAGCAACUAAGCCCCUGCGCCACAACUACUGAGCCCGCGUGCCACAACUACUGAAGCCCGCGCACCUAGAGCCCGUGCUCCGCAACGAAAGAAGCCACCGCAAUGAAGAGUAGCCCCCGCUCGCCACAACUAGAGAAAGCACGCACGCAGCAAUGAAGACCCAAUGCAGCCAAAAAUAAUAAAUAAAAUAAAUAUAUUUUUUUAAAACUUAAAAAAGAAAAGAACCUCCAGAGACGGCCCACUGCCCGCCAAAUUAACGGCCAGCGCCUUACCUUGCAUUCUUUCAUCUUCCAUCUUGAAUGAUAAUUAUUGUUGACUUGUUCUGUGGUCCCCACUAGAUAGUAAACUACUUCACAGCAAGAUUCAACUG
Physeter macrocephalus (sperm whale) is the source of this 1583-nucleotide long non-coding RNA. RefSeq lists it as uncharacterized. Lineage: Eukaryota; Metazoa; Chordata; Mammalia; Artiodactyla; Physeteridae. The record is from RefSeq and is a predicted model, not a curated record. The transcript is spliced from 6 exons.